UACGUAGGGGGCAAGCGUUAUCCGGAUUCACUGGGCGUGAAGGGAGCGCAGGCGGCACGGCAAGUCUGGUGUGAAAGCCCGGGGCCCAACCCCGGGACUGCAUUGGAAACUGCCGGGCUGGAGUGCCGGAGGGGUAAGCGGAAUUCCUGGUGUAGCGGUGAAAUGCGCAGAUAUCAGGAAGAACACCGGUGGCGUAGGCGGCUUACUGGACGGCAACUGACGCUGAGGCUCGAAAGCGUGGGGAGCAAACAGG
This 253-nucleotide ribosomal RNA is filed under the name uncultured bacterium. RNAcentral describes it as "partial 16S ribosomal RNA". It matches the Rfam family "Bacterial small subunit ribosomal RNA", at positions 524 to 776 of the family's 1533-position model. The record is from RNAcentral.